AGUCAUCGGCUUUCCUUCUGUUUUGGGUUUUUCCUCGCCGGAUUUUCCAUUAAAACCAGCCCAUGCGUUCCACUUCUCAACCCUAGCGUCGCCGUCCCGAUGCUGCAGUACAACGCCGGUAGCCAACUCUUCACGAUGCGAGGCCCUCCCGUCACGCCGCCGCCGCCAGCCCACCUCCUCGUGAUCUAGCCAAUACCUUCCCCCGUGCGGCGUCCCACUCUUCGCGCAGCAGCCCCCAUAGAUGAGUCCCCGAUCCCCUCGCAUGAAUGUUGUCCUGCUCCACGGCCUCCUGCAGCUGGUCCUGCCGUGUGUUGCGGACAUGCAGCAGUCUCCCCGAGGUCCUGCCCCGUUUCGUGUCGCCUCGCCGAGAUCCUACCAGUCUCGCAUCCCCGACGGCCUUCCUUCACGGUUGCAGUUUGAACAGGUCAAAAGAGACGGUGACCAGCAACGGUGUGAGGCGACGGCGGAAGUGUGUCAGUGAUUGUGGCCAUGCUGGGUCCAAGAUGAGGGUGAGGUGCCGCAAGCGGCUAACUUGCCAAGGUAUAUAUCUCUUUAGUUGUGUAAAGGUUUCUACUUUAUAUAUCCAUUUUAGCUGCACAAAUGGUAUUGUCCAUCAGUGUCCAUUGUAUGCUUGAGGAGAAUGUUGGAAUGACAUAACACGGCAAAGUGAGAAACAUAGAAAGCAAGCUGAAAGCUUGAAAACUUCAAAGAUUUUGUGACACUAAAAAAUUAUUUAUACACAUUAAUUUUAGCUUGAAAUUUGAAAGAGUAA
Molecule: long non-coding RNA, 772 nt
Organism: Triticum aestivum (bread wheat)
Lineage: Eukaryota; Viridiplantae; Streptophyta; Magnoliopsida; Poales; Poaceae
Exons: 2
Source: RefSeq, a predicted model, not a curated record